CUCACUGCAAACACCAGCUCAGAUCCUUUGUUCCUCUGACACUUCAUCCUAGUUGCCAUGUACCUUGUGCUUUGGAAUCUGAAUCUGCCUGCCUACCAACACCUCCCUAUUCAGGAAGUGCUCCUGUCUACAGCUAACUGGGCGUACCUGCAGUUAGGACAUGUGGCCUGCUCCUCCUUGAGACGAGAGUCAGCCAGGAGGUGGAUGAAACAGCCUGCACACAUCAGGUGUCCAUUGGUACACUGUGGUGGGGAAAAAGGUUUACUGAACUCUUUUUCUCCCUCGCUGCUGGUGUGUCCUGGUGUUUUGUUCAUCACUGUUUCUGCUGCAUUGAUCUGAGCGAGCCUCUGGGCUGGUCUCAACUUGUCUGGUCCUGCUCCAGUAUCUGUUGUCUC
Epinephelus lanceolatus (giant grouper) is the source of this 395-nucleotide long non-coding RNA. RefSeq lists it as uncharacterized. NCBI's taxonomy places the organism in Eukaryota, Metazoa, Chordata, Actinopteri, Perciformes, Serranidae. The record is from RefSeq and is a predicted model, not a curated record.